Molecule: ribosomal RNA, 32 nt
Filed under: Adenocephalus pacificus
Lineage: Eukaryota; Metazoa; Platyhelminthes; Cestoda; Diphyllobothriidea; Diphyllobothriidae
Description: partial 28S ribosomal RNA
Source: RNAcentral
GAUCAGUCGUGAUUACCCGCUGAACUUAAGCA